Molecule: ribosomal RNA, 872 nt
Filed under: Salmonella enterica subsp. enterica serovar Infantis
Lineage: Bacteria; Pseudomonadati; Pseudomonadota; Gammaproteobacteria; Enterobacterales; Enterobacteriaceae
Also listed under: 2 other names
Description: partial 23S ribosomal RNA
Rfam family: Bacterial large subunit ribosomal RNA
Source: RNAcentral
AGACCCGAAACCCGGUGAUCUAGCCAUGGGCAGGUUGAAGGUUGGGUAACACUAACUGGAGGACCGAACCGACUAAUGUUGAAAAAUUAGCGGAUGACCUGUGGCUGGGGGUGAAAGGCCAAUCAAACCGGGAGAUAGCUGGUUCUCCCCGAAAGCUAUUUAGGUAGCGCCUCGUGAAUUCAUCUCCGGGGGUAGAGCACUGUUUCGGCUAGGGGGCCAUCCCGGCUUACCAACCCGAUGCAAACUGCGAAUACCGGAGAAUGUUAUCACGGGAGACACACGGCGGGUGCUAACGUCCGUCGUGAAGAGGGAAACAACCCAGACCGCCAGCUAAGGUCCCAAAGUCAUGGUUAAGUGGGAAACGAUGUGGGAAGGCCCAGACAGCCAGGAUGUUGGCUUAGAAGCAGCCAUCAUUUAAAGAAAGCGUAAUAGCUCACUGGUCGAGUCGGCCUGCGCGGAAGAUGUAACGGGGCUAAACCAUGCACCGAAGCUGCGGCAGCGAACGUAUCACUUAAAGCGAUUCAGCGGGUUACGAUUGACGGAGCGAAGCGACGUCAAAGCGUAUACAAAGUCGAGUCGGUUUAAGGAUACGUUCGUUGGGUAGGGGAGCGUUCUGUAAGCCUGCGAAGGUGGCCUGUGAGGGUUGCUGGAGGUAUCAGAAGUGCGAAUGCUGACAUAAGUAACGAUAAAGCGGGUGAAAAGCCCGCUCGCCGGAAGACCAAGGGUUCCUGUCCAACGUUAAUCGGGGCAGGGUGAGUCGACCCCUAAGGCGAGGCCGAAAGGCGUAGUCGAUGGGAAACGGGUUAAUAUUCCCGUACUUGGUGUUACUGCGAAGGGGGGACGGAGAAGGCUAUGUUGGCCGGGCGACGGUU